RNAcentral lists this ribosomal RNA (292 nucleotides) under uncultured bacterium. RNAcentral describes it as "partial 16S ribosomal RNA". The record is from RNAcentral.
GGACUACCGGGGUAUCUAAUCCUGUUUGAUCCCCAUGCUUUCGUGCCUGAGCGUCAAUACCGGCCCAAUCUGCUGCCUUCGCCACUGGUGUUCUUCCGAAUAUCUACACAUUUCACUGCUACACUCGGAAUUCCACAGAUCUCUACCGGAUUCAAGACUGAUAGUAUCAAAGGCAGUUUCGUCGUUAAGCGACGAGAUUUCACCACUGACUUACCAGUCCGCCUGCGCACCCUUUACACCCAGUAAAUCCGGACAACGCUCGGAUCCUACGUAUUACCGCGGCUGCUGGCAC